This 498-nucleotide ribosomal RNA is filed under the name uncultured bacterium. Its description in RNAcentral is "partial 16S ribosomal RNA". It matches the Rfam family "Bacterial small subunit ribosomal RNA", at positions 28 to 507 of the family's 1533-position model. The record is from RNAcentral.
GACGAACGCUGGCGGCGUGCCUAAUACAUGCAAGUCGAACGAGAGCGACCGGUGCUUGCACUGUUCAAUCUAGUGGCGAACGGGUGAGUAACACGUGGGUAACCUGCCCAUCAGAGGGGGAUAACAUUCGGAAACGGAUGCUAAAACCGCAUAGGUCUUCGAACCGCAUGGUUUGAAGAGGAAAAGAGGCGCAAGCUUCUGCUGAUGGAUGUACCCGCGGUGCAUUAGCUAGUUGGUGAGGUAACGGCUCACCAAGGCCGUGAUGCAUAGCCGACCUGAGGGGGUGAUCGGCCACAUUGGGACUGAGACACGGCCCAAACUCCUACGGGAGGCAGCAGUAGGGAAUCUUCCGCAAUGGACGCAAGUCUGACGGAGCAACGCCGCGUGAGUGAAGAAGGUUUUCGGAUCGUAAAACUCUGUUGUUAGAGAAGAAUAAGUGCUAGAGUAACUGUUAGCGCCUUGACGGUAUCUAACCAGAAAGCCACGGCUAACUACGUG